Molecule: transfer RNA, 73 nt
Filed under: Felis catus (domestic cat)
Lineage: Eukaryota; Metazoa; Chordata; Mammalia; Carnivora; Felidae
Also listed under: 2 other names
Rfam family: tRNA
About the family: Transfer RNA (tRNA) molecules are approximately 80 nucleotides in length.
Source: Rfam by way of RNAcentral
GCCCGGCUGGCUCGGUCGGCGGAGCGAGUGACUCUGGACCUGCAGGGCGUGGGUUCAAGCCCCACGCCGGGCG